RNAcentral lists this transfer RNA (77 nucleotides) under Mycobacterium phage CELFI. Its description in RNAcentral is "tRNA-Leu". Lineage: Duplodnaviria; Heunggongvirae; Uroviricota; Caudoviricetes; Vilmaviridae. The record is from RNAcentral.
GGAACCGUAGCCCAAUUGGCAGAGGCAGUAGGCUUAGACCCUAUCCAGUGUGCGUUCGAGUCGCACCGGUUCUACGC